This 207-nucleotide ribosomal RNA is filed under the name uncultured bacterium. RNAcentral's name for it is "partial 16S ribosomal RNA". It matches the Rfam family "Bacterial small subunit ribosomal RNA", at positions 1286 to 1500 of the family's 1533-position model. The record is from RNAcentral.
UCUCAGUUCGGAUUGGAGUCUGCAACCCGACUCCAUGAAGCUGGAUUCGCUAGUAAUCGCGCAUCAGCCAUGGCGCGGUGAAUACGUUCCCGGGCCUUGUACACACCGCCCGUCAAGCCAUGGGAGCCGGGGGCGCCUGAAGUCCGGGACCGCGAGGACCGGCCUAAGGCGAAACCGGUGACUGGGGCUAAGUCGUAACAAGGUACC